CCUACGGGAGGCAGCAGUGAGGAAUAUUGGUCAAUGGGCGCGAGCCUGAACCAGCCAAGUAGCGUGAAGGAUGACUGCCCUACGGGUUGUAAACUUCUUUUAUAAAGGAAUAAAGUGAGGCACGUGUGCCUUUUUGUGUGUACUUUAUGAAUAAGGAUCGGCUAACUCCGUGCCAGCAGCCGCGGUAAUACGGAGGAUCCGAGCGUUAUCCGGAUUUAUUGGGUUUAAAGGGAGCGUAGAUGGGUUGUUAAGUCAGUGGUGAAAGUUUGCGGCUCAACCGUAAAAUUGCAAUUGAUACUGGCAGCCUUGAGUGCAGUUGAGGUAGGCGGAAUGCGUGGUGUAGCGGUGAAAUGCUUAGAUAUCACGAAGAACUCCGAUUGCGAAGGCAGCUUACUAACCUGCCACUGACGUUGAUGCUCGAAAGUGUGGGUAUCAAACAGGAUUAGAUACCCUUGUAGUC
RNAcentral lists this ribosomal RNA (460 nucleotides) under uncultured bacterium. RNAcentral describes it as "partial 16S ribosomal RNA". It matches the Rfam family "Bacterial small subunit ribosomal RNA", at positions 338 to 795 of the family's 1533-position model. The record is from RNAcentral.